GGAGGAGUACCCAAGUGGCUGAAGGGUCUGGCUUCGAACACCAGUAGGUCGGGAAUACCGGCGCAAGGGUUCAAAUCCCUUCUCCUCCG
Molecule: transfer RNA, 89 nt
Filed under: Lachnospiraceae bacterium
Lineage: Bacteria; Bacillati; Bacillota; Clostridia; Lachnospirales; Lachnospiraceae
Also listed under: 1 other name
Description: tRNA-Ser
Rfam family: tRNA
About the family: Transfer RNA (tRNA) molecules are approximately 80 nucleotides in length. Their secondary structure includes four short double-helical elements and three loops (D, anti-codon, and T loops). Further hydrogen bonds mediate the characteristic L-shaped molecular structure. tRNAs have two regions of fundamental functional importance: the anti-codon, which is responsible for specific mRNA codon recognition, and the 3' end, to which the tRNAs corresponding amino acid is attached (by aminoacyl-tRNA synthetases). tRNAs cope with the degeneracy of the genetic code in two manners: having more than one tRNA (with a specific anti-codon) for a particular amino acid; and 'wobble' base-pairing, i.e. permitting non-standard base-pairing at the 3rd anti-codon position.
Source: RNAcentral